UCCGGCUUGUCACCGGCAGUUUCUCCAGAGUGCCCGGCCGAACCGAUGGCAACUGAAGAUGGGGGUCGCGCUCGUUGCGGGACUUAACCCAACAUCUCACGACACGAGCUGACGACAGCCAUGCAGCACCUGUGUUCCCGCCAGCCGAACUGAAGGACCGGAUCUCUCCGGCCCAUACGGGACAUGUCAAGGGCUGGUAAGGUUCUUCGCGUUGCGUCGAAUUAAACCACAUGCUCCACCGCUUGUGCGGGUCCCCGUCAAUUCCUUUGAGUUUUAACCUUGCGGCCGUACUCCCCAGGCGGUCAACUUCACGCGUUAGCUACGGUACUGAGAAAUCGCUUCCCCAACACCCAGUUGACAUCGUUUAGGGCGUGGACUAC
RNAcentral lists this unclassified non-coding RNA (380 nucleotides) under uncultured Pseudomonadota bacterium. Its description in RNAcentral is "uncultured proteobacterium contains 16S-23S intergenic spacer region". Lineage: Bacteria; Pseudomonadati; Pseudomonadota. The record is from RNAcentral.